UGAGUAAGAAACAGAUUCUAUAGAUAUUGUUUCUCCCCUUUUCACUUUUAUUUUUAUUUUUUUGUUUAGCAAUUCCGUCCAACUAAGCAUCCAAAUGCAUAGGUAAACAGGGGUUUUUCUUGCCCCACACACACUAUCUCGCUUCUUUUGAGAUUUGCAAUUAAAAUUUUAUGUAUUCUUUUAUGGCUUUGACAUACCAGUGGCUCUAUAUGAGUAACUUUUAGGGAGUUCUCUGUUUUCUCACCUCCUCUCUUUUUAAGGGAGUUCUCUUCUACUAGCACACAUCUAAUUCUUUAGUUUUAGAUAGUCUUUUCCUUAAUUUUUUUCACGAUAUGCCAUUUGAAUUCAUUAGAGGCAUUUAUAAAUUUGAAAAUUUCCUCAUCUCUAGACUUUCUGCUAUCUUCAUCUUAGCUUUCAUUAGUUAUUAGGAGGAAGAUGUUAUGUUUUUUUUAAAAAAAAUCUGAAUCUCAGUUCCAAGAUAUAUUUUUGUUUUCUUCCUGCAAUGCAGAAACCUGGCAUUCAAUUGGCUGAGUCAGAAUAUUCAGUUCUCCUUAGCUUCCUUGAAAUCUCUCCGUUAUUUGUAAGUUCUUGUAAUCUGUGAGGGUGUUAAAGUCUCUGGUUUAUGAGUAGGCAGUUUAUUUUGCUAACCGAUCUUUUUUCCCAGUGCAGGAAUCUGAGUCACAAUUCAUAUAGAGAUGCAUAGCUAGAGAACUUCCUUGAUUGGUUGCUUUGUAUAAAACAAUGCUUUUAUGGAUCCUUUCAUGAUAUUCCAGCUAUUGUGACAGAUUUCAAUAUUGUUAGUUAUCUAGGAGGUUUCAAUUUUAGUAACACUGUGAUCUUAUUGCCCUUCAUAGUUAACCAUGGUGUCUUCACUAGCUGAACACAAAAAGUUCCUUAUGCAUUUAUCAAUUUUCUCUUUGAUUGUCAAUGUCAACAUUUUCUUGACAUGGAUUACCUCUGGUUAAUAUCUUUUUUUUUUCUUUCAUUCUUUCUUCAGGAGUGUUUUAGUUUUACAGAAAGAAGAGCAAGGUUAAGAAGUUAUAAAACCAAUCCAAUGGGCAAAGUCUAGACGUAUACUACUGCAAAACCAAUUUCUUCUUAUUGGAACUUUAUCAAUCACCCUCGGUAUGGCCAUUCUAUGUCAAACCUUAUCAUUCAGAACAUCCUGAUUGACAGUCCAGAGUAUCCUUUAUUUAGAGCACGUGGACGGUCCAUGCUUAGUUGUGACAUGCAAUCGUUUAGAGAAUAUGCAGAUGGGAUUGCUACAUCAGGGUUCUUACUUGAAAAUAAUUUAGCUAACCCAGAAAAUAAGCUGAUCUGCUCAUUCCAUGGGUUCCAUGCGCCCCAAAAAGGGGUGCGCUCCAGCGGUACCAGUACCACGGUAAGCUUAUGGUGACACCAGGCAGAUGUGGGUCCAUGUGAUGUAUUCACUCCAUCCAACUCAUCUAUCAGAUGCGUCACCUCAGAAAAAGCCUAGGACCAAAACUCAGCUUGAUUUGAAACUAAGGUGUUGGACCCGAAAUGUAGGCAAGUGGAGCAGCCAUUCUGAGUUGCACAACACCCUGUCUAACCUCUCCCACAUACGGGAUCUCCCCAGGUGGUUUUUGCUCCAUGUAAAACUUGCUGCCAUGAAACCAGCAUCCAACAGCCUCGCUUGGCUGAUGGCUUCAGCAAACUCUAACGAACUGCCCCACUUGAUGUGGACCGUCCAUUGUGAGGGGCCACACUUUGAUGUGAGUCAUCCAUCAUGUGAAGCCCACUCCGUCUAUCAUGUGGGCCCACCUUGAUGUGGACCAUUUAUUGUGUGGGGCCCCACCUUCAAUAUGGAUCAUUCAUCAUGUGAGCCCACCUUUGAUGUCAACUGACCAUCAUGUGGGCUCACCUUCAAUGACCAUCGUCCAUCAUAUGGGUCCCACCUUUGAUGUGGACUAACCAUCAAUUGGGAUCCACUUGAUGUGCAUGUUUCAUCUUGUUGGGCCACACUUUAAUGCGGGCCAUCCAUCAUGCGGGGCCUACCUUUGAUGUCAAUCGUUCAAUAUGUGGGCCCACCUUGAUGUGGACCAUACAUCUUGUGGGACCCCAUGUUCAAUAUGAGUCGUUCAUCAUGAGGGACCCACCUUUGAUGUCCACCGUCCAUUAUGUAGGUCCCACCUUUACUGUGGACCUUCCAUCAUGUAGGUCCCAACCUUCAGUAUGAGCCAUUCAUCAUGUGGGCCCACACUUAAUGUCAACCUUCUAUCAUGUGCUCUCACAUUCAAUAUGCCCACCAUCCAUC
Magnolia sinica is the source of this 2275-nucleotide long non-coding RNA. RefSeq lists it as uncharacterized. The record is from RefSeq and is a predicted model, not a curated record. Lineage: Eukaryota; Viridiplantae; Streptophyta; Magnoliopsida; Magnoliales; Magnoliaceae. The transcript has 4 exons.